GGAAUCAACAUUUACAAGUCAGUAGUGUGUUUUAUAUAUUGAAGUUAGAAAUAAAUUAAUUGUUUCUUUUAUUGAUUUGCUUUUUUAACAGGAUAGAGAAAUGCCACUUGGAACAAAGCUAUUAAUGUGGACAAGUCCGACUAUGGAAACAUAGUAGAUCUCACAUACUUUGAUAUAGAUUCUCCUAUACUCUCACCACAUAAUGUGCCAUCAUCAGCCACGAAAUCCUGACCACCGAGUCAAAGAUCACCACAUAAUGUCCCAUCAUCAGCCACAAAUUCUGACCACCGAGUCAAAGAUCACCACAUAAUGUCCCAUCAUCAGCCACAAAUUCUGACCGAGUCAAAGAUCACCACGUAAUGUCCCAUCGUCAUCGACCACUUAGUCCAAGAGAAAAAGAUCUGACAGAAACCAGUACUCAAAAACAUGACAUCACCCCAACCUUAAUUCUCUGUGUGUAAGGAUUAAAGAGAUUGAUUGCGCAAUACAGUUUUUACUGGGCCUGAUGAAGGACAAACAGAAGAAAUAUAACAAACAUUCGGACCAAUUUCAGCGGAUCUUGGAGACGCUCUCCAUUCUUAACCGGGUCAAGGACAGCAUGCAGAACCUGGUCCCCAAGAUGGAGCGCUUGAACCAGAUGUUGCCACCGGAGGACCGACUGGAACCGCUCAGUCUGAAGAGUCACUUAAUGUUAUUAAGAACGCAACCCUGAUAAAGAGCAAGGGAACCAGUAAAAUGAAGAACUAGUAUUAGUAUUGUCACUUUCAUUUAUUUGUAUGUAAACUUAUUUUGUAAAGAACUUAAAUUUAAGUUCUCUUUUGUGUUCAUUUAAAUUUUUAUACAUGUCAUACUAAAUUUCAA
Saccostrea cuccullata (small rock oyster) is the source of this 861-nucleotide long non-coding RNA. RefSeq lists it as uncharacterized. The record is from RefSeq and is a predicted model, not a curated record. NCBI's taxonomy places the organism in Eukaryota, Metazoa, Mollusca, Bivalvia, Ostreida, Ostreidae. The transcript has 3 exons.